This is a non-coding RNA of Gossypium arboreum, 70 nucleotides long. The record is from Rfam. NCBI's taxonomy places the organism in Eukaryota, Viridiplantae, Streptophyta, Magnoliopsida, Malvales, Malvaceae.
AACCCAUGAUGAUGGCACCUUCUCAGAAUAUCCUUAAAUCUCUCCCAUGCAUCAUACAAUGUCUGAAGCU